UACGGAGGGUGCAAGCGUUGUCCGGAUUUAUUGGGUUUAAAGGGUGCGUAGGCGGCUUUAUAAGUCAGUGGUGAAAGUCUGUAGCUUAACUAUAGAAUUGCCAUUGAUACUGUAGAGCUUGAGUAUAGUUGAGGUAGGCGGAAUUUAUGAUGUAGCGGUGAAAUGCAUAGAUAUCAUAAGGAACUCCGAUAGCGAAGGCAGCUUACUAAACUAAUACUGACGCUGAGGCACGAAAGCAUGGGUAGCAAACAGG
RNAcentral lists this unclassified non-coding RNA (253 nucleotides) under uncultured Cytophagales bacterium. RNAcentral describes it as "contains 16S-23S intergenic spacer region". It matches the Rfam family "Bacterial small subunit ribosomal RNA", at positions 524 to 776 of the family's 1533-position model. The record is from RNAcentral. Lineage: Bacteria; Pseudomonadati; Bacteroidota; Sphingobacteriia; Sphingobacteriales.